This is a long non-coding RNA of Oreochromis niloticus (Nile tilapia), 616 nucleotides long. RefSeq lists it as uncharacterized. NCBI's taxonomy places the organism in Eukaryota, Metazoa, Chordata, Actinopteri, Cichliformes, Cichlidae. The record is from RefSeq and is a predicted model, not a curated record. The transcript is spliced from 3 exons.
UUCAGCUGGAUGGCCUUGGAGGGAUUCCACCUCUACCUUCUCGUAGUCAAAGUCUUUGACAUCUAUGUCAGCAGAUACCUGCUCAAACUCAGUGUGGUGGGAUGGGGUGAGUUGAGUACUUCAAACAGGAAGUUCUCUUUAUCAGACUGUAAACUGUGGCUGACUGCUCAGUUUGCAUGUUUCAGGUGUUCCUGCAGUCAUUGUGUCAGUGGUGCUGAUCAUAGACAGAAGCUUUUAUGGUCCUGUCUCUGUGGAUACAUAUAAUGUCAACAAAACUGCAAUGUGCUAUAUUACCAAUGCUGACGUGAAAAUGGUGACUACAGUGGGACUGCUCGUGAUUGUGUUUCUGUUUAACAUGAUUAUGUUUGGGGUGACAAUCAAAUAUGUUUUCAGUGUUGGACAAAGCAGAGAGACUGAAUCCAAAAGAGUCAUGCAAAGCAUUUGUCCCCUGCUGGGAGUUGGCAUUCUGCUUGGCUUUCCCUGGAGCCUGGUCUUCUUCUCAUUUGGACAACUGACCACUCCUGGCCUCUACCUCUUCUGCAUCCUGAACUCACUGCAAGGUCAGUACAGUCUGCAACUAUGUGUGUCUCUGUUGAAGGUACUCAUCAAGAUUAGC